UAUUCCACACAGCUACUCACGACUUCAUGAUUAAUGUCAUAUUGAAAAGCCAGAGUGUUUGUUCUCGUCUGUAGCUGUUCCUAGUUGUAACAACUUGAUUAUUUAUGUUUGGAGCUCAUCUUCUCAAUGCAGGUUACAGAAAUGAGUCUUCAGGUUUGUCACUGCUGUGGCUGGUCCAAAGUGACGACCUAUCAGGGCCUGCGGGUCCACCAGGGCAAAAACGGAUGCACGCCGAAGGGUAUGAGGAUGGCAGAGCCCCAACAGCAGGACAUGUGGGGCUUUACAGGACAGACAACCGCUCACAAGAGCUACAAGCUGGACGUCCCGACCACUAUUAAAUCUGACGCGAGCCUACAGAUAUGCCACUGUGGCUGGACCCAAGUGACGAGCUAUCAUGGGCUGAGAGUCCACCAGGGGAUGAAGGGCUGCACACCAAAGGGAGCAAGGAUUCCAAAGGAAGAGCAGAAGGCCUGGGGGAAUUACUGGAAACCACAAGUGGAUGAGAAAAAACCUCCUGAAUUGAAGAAGCUGAAUAAAAAGCAUGAGUAUUUCCCAGAAAAACCAAGGAUGAGAAAGCUCAGCAACCGUGCAGCGGCAGCCACAGUCAAAACGGAGAACAACUGGAGGACGUGUCAUGAAACAAGGUCAAAGCCGUGGCAUCAGUCGGAGGAGUGCUCCACCCCUUUAAAGAGUUCUGAGGACUACUGGAACACUGGCAGCUGUUAUAACUAUGCAACAGCAGCCACUGCAGUCAAGGAAGAGCCCAAAUCACCUCCAGCGGUGUCUCUUCGAAGAUACCCAGAUGACUGCAAUGGAAGAUCCGUCCAUGAGUUUGAGGAUUCCUCGCCUUAUUUGCAGAUAAAUCGUCGGCUCAAAGAGAAUCCAGCUAUGGUAUUUGACAAACCAGCCGUCCCACCGAAGCAGCAAUGUAGAUCUGUCACCGACCCUCCAGCAACUCCCCCUGUUGACCCACACGAGGAGAAGGAGUCACUGUUGUCAACAUCAGCGCAGGAAACGCCAAAGUCUCAGCUGCUGAAAGAAAUUCACACAUGUUUAGAAAAAUUUAUAAUAAAGAGAGAGGGAAAGUUGAGAAACAUCAGUCCAUCAGAUUCUGCUUGUGAGAUAAACAAAUCAGUCAGCAAACAUCCAACAGCUGGACCUCCUGUCCAACCUAAGAGGAAAGGCUUAAUUUUAUUAAACAGAACGCCAGAGAAAGCUGAAAAAUCUUCAGCCACCGAUGGAGCAAUAUUUGAGUCCAAGAAGGACAGCAAGGAAGAGGAAGUGGCGCAGCAUGCGGGGACAUCAGCAAGAGUCAGAUCACCACCGGCAAACAAGUCACCUUUCACAACCCCUUCCCACCCCUUCAAAAAACCCACGGACAGAAAGGUAGCAGCAGCUGAGCAGUUGAGCAGCCGGGCAUCUGAGCGUCCUCUAGCGCCUCCUGUUGUGCCGCCGAAGAGGAACCCGCGUUCAUUCACAGUGAAGCAACUGAGCAGUCGAGACAUUCCUAAUGACCUGCAAGGAGCAAAUAAGACGAGGGAGGGAAUGAAGGUGAAGGAACUGGUGCAGAUGUUUUCUGUCCCUGCAGCCCAAGAGAAAACAGCCGUACCAACGGAGAAACUCAGACCGGAAAACCCACAGGGGAAGCUUCUCGCUCAAAGACGUACCACCAUCCCGGCCCGGGAAACCGGAGUCCAACCAAAGUUGGAAGACAGGAAGGAGCAGAUAAACAAAUCAGUCAGCAAACAUCCAACAGCUGGACCUCCUGUCCAACCUAAGAGGAAGGACUUAAUUUUAUUAAACAGAACGCCAGAGAAAGCUGAAAAGUCUUCAGCCACCGAUGGAGCAAUAUUUGAGUCCAAGAAGGACAGCAAGGAAGAGGAAGUGGCGCAGAAUGCUACAGAUAUGGCACCUGAGCCAACACCAACAGCAGCAAAACGGUCACAGAAGGAGGACCUAUCGAUGAUUGAAGCAGCCGAGCCUGACGUCUCUACGAGCAGGAAGGUGAAGGAACUGGCUCAGAUGUUUGCGGUUCAGGAAAGAGCCGCACGGCCCCAGCCGAAACGCGGACAAGAGCGCCGACCAUCACAGUUAAAAUUUAGGGCUGAAAGAUUUCUACAAACCAAACCCCAGGAAACCAUUGUUCAACUAAAGGAGGAGGAACAUGGCGGAGUAAAACCAGCACAGGUACAGCACUGAUUUCUCUUUCUUCUUCGUCGCCGCCUGCUGAGAAUCAAUGAACCACCAACCCAGUUCAUAGUCUCUUGCAUGUUGACAAACAUAAUACUGGUUCUGCAGGUUUUACAUCCAUGAGAUUUAUUUAAACUGUCUCUCAAAUGCAAAUGUCUAUUUGCACACUUCAGUUUAUCAGGGAAUGUGUGUUUAGACAUCCGUGCAAACUGCAGUCCUGUAACCUGAAGACCUAAAUUUAUUGCACAGUAGUUUACUAUGUGCAUGAGUGUAUCAAACGGCAGAGCGUUCGUGUGACACACGAGGGCAACUGCACAGUAAUCUAUGUCGUCAGUAUAGGAACCGCUAUCCGACUUUUAGACUCAAAAAUGUGUCUACUAGAGGCAAAUGACUAUUUCCACGCUUUAAGCUUCUCAGGGAGUCUUGUUGGUCAGUGAAAUCAACUGAUUUCAGAAGAUUGUCUUGUUGGAUCGGAAUAUUAUGCCUUUGUGUGCAUUCUGUAAGACAUCAUCAAAAAUUCAUUAUGGUAGCACAUAUUGGCAGUAAAGAUUCUCGAGUCUUGACUCUUGAAACAUAGCGGUAGCAGCAUAAUGAUGUGGAUAUGGUUCACUUUAGCAGGGACUGGGAAGCUGAUCAGGGUUGAUGGAUGGAGCUAAAUAGCGGGCAAUGCUGCAGGGAAACUUCUAAGGCCUAAGCCUCAAAACCUCUGCCUGGAUAAUUUGGCUUAUUUUGACUGGAUAAAGGCCAUUAAAUGGCAUAUGGACCUAUGAGUAAAUAAUUUUGCCCAUUUCUCUAUAACAACUGGAAGUUUCAAGAUCUACCGGGUUUUUUUUUACAAUUAAAAUUCUAUUUAUAGAGAGUUUUAUCAGGUUAAAAUGAAGAAAAACAAAGAUUGCAAAUAGUUUUUAGAAGUUUAGUGGUAAAGAAAAUACUAUAGAUGUACACAACGAAAUGCUUUUGCCUUCUGAAUUAGAUAUUUAGACGGUAUUGAAAAUAUUUACAACAGUUACAGUCCAUCAACCUCUCAGUUUUGGUGGUACGGCCAGUAGCAGUUUCUGUCCAGCUCCAGACAGAGGCCCACGUCACACCCUCUACACUUCCAGGCAGUGUUCUACUUUCUGUUUCAGUUCUCCAUCUUGCAUGAUGUGGUGAGUGGCUUUCGUCUCUCUCAGCAUCAUCACCAGCAUCUCCAGUAGCCUGUGGGCUCUCCACUUAUGGAUGGCUGAGCCUAACUAAAAGACAAAAGGAAGGAUAUUCAGCUCGAAAUAUGCAAUCUUACUGACUUGAAGUUACCAGACCCAACAAGUACUCCUACCACAAUGAAAACUGCUUCAUCAAAGGCCACCAAGCAUCAGGACCACAAACCCU
RNA transcript from Fundulus heteroclitus (mummichog), 3558 nucleotides. It is a transcript of the gene named neurofilament heavy polypeptide, with no coding region annotated. Lineage: Eukaryota; Metazoa; Chordata; Actinopteri; Cyprinodontiformes; Fundulidae. The transcript is spliced from 19 exons. The record is from RefSeq and is a predicted model, not a curated record.